GUCUUUUUGGUAUUUAAUAUAAAGUCUGACCUGCCCACUGAAUAUAGUUUGAAGGGCCGCAGUAUUUUGACUGUGCAAAGGUAGCAUAAUCAUUAGUCUUUUAAUUGAGGGCUGGUAUGAAUGGUUGGAUGAGAUACAAGCUGUGUCAUAUAAAUUAAUAUUUGAAUUUAACUUUUUAGUCAAAAGGCUAAAAUAAUUUUGAAAGACGAGAAGACCCCGUAGAGCUUUAUAUAAUAAAUAUUUAAUUUAUUAAGAUUUAUCAAAUUUAGUUAUUUUAUUAUAUUUUGUUGGGGUGACAAUAAAAUUUAUAAAACUUUUAUUUUUAUUUAACAUUAAUUUAUGAUUAAAUGAUCCAGUUUUAUUGAUUAUAAAUUUAAGUUACCUUGGGGAUAACAGCGUAAUUUUUUUUGAGAGUUCUUAUCGACAAAAAAGAUUGCGACCUCGAUGUUGGAUUAAGAGUAAUUUUGGGUGUAGAAGUUCAAAGUUUAAGUCUGUUCGACUUUUAAAUUCUUACAU
RNAcentral lists this ribosomal RNA (516 nucleotides) under Simulium feuerborni. RNAcentral's name for it is "partial 16S ribosomal RNA". It matches the Rfam family "Bacterial large subunit ribosomal RNA", at positions 1819 to 2601 of the family's 2925-position model. Lineage: Eukaryota; Metazoa; Arthropoda; Insecta; Diptera; Simuliidae. The record is from RNAcentral.